This 1346-nucleotide ribosomal RNA is filed under the name uncultured bacterium. Its description in RNAcentral is "bacterial SSU rRNA". It matches the Rfam family "Bacterial small subunit ribosomal RNA", at positions 28 to 1381 of the family's 1533-position model. The record is from RNAcentral.
GACGAACGCUGGCGGCGUGCUUAACACAUGCAAGUCGAACGGAAAGGCCCUGCUUUUGUGGGGUGCUCGAGUGGCGAACGGGUGAGUAACACGUGAGUAACCUGCCCUUGACUUUGGGAUAACUUCAGGAAACUGGGGCUAAUACCGGAUAGGAGCUCCUGCUGCAUGGUGGGGGUUGGAAAGUUUCGGCGGUUGGGGAUGGACUCGCGGCUUAUCAGCUUGUUGGUGGGGUAGUGGCUUACCAAGGCUUUGACGGGUAGCCGGCCUGAGAGGGUGACCGGCCACAUUGGGACUGGGAUACGGCCCAGACUCCUACGGGAGGCAGCAGUGGGGAAUAUUGCACAAUGGGCGGAAGCCUGAUGCAGCAACGCCGCGUGCGGGAUGACGGCCUUCGGGUUGUAAACCGCUUUCGCCUGUGACGAAGCGUGAGUGACGGUAAUGGGUAAAGAAGCACCGGCUAACUACGUGCCAGCAGCCGCGGUGAUACGUAGGGUGCGAGCGUUGUCCGGAUUUAUUGGGCGUAAAGGGCUCGUAGGUGGUUGAUCGCGUCGGAAGUGUAAUCUUGGGGCUUAACCCUGAGCGUGCUUUCGAUACGGGUUGACUUGAGGAAGGUAGGGGAGAAUGGAAUUCCUGGUGGAGCGGUGGAAUGCGCAGAUAUCAGGAGGAACACCAGUGGCGAAGGCGGUUCUCUGGGCCUUUCCUGACGCUGAGGAGCGAAAGCGUGGGGAGCGAACAGGCUUAGAUACCCUGGUAGUCCACGCUGUAAACGGUGGGUACUAGGUGUGGGGUCCAUUCCACGGGUUCCGUGCCGUAGCUAACGCUUUAAGUACCCCGCCUGGGGAGUACGGCCGCAAGGCUAAAACUCAAAGGAAUUGACGGGGCCCCGCACAAGCGGCGGAGCAUGCGGAUUAAUUCGAUGCAACGCGUAGAACCUUACCUGGGUUUGACAUGGAUCGGGAGCGCUCAGAGAUGGGUGUGCCUCUUUUGGGGUCGGUUCACAGGUGGUGCAUGGCUGUCGUCAGCUCGUGUCGUGAGAUGCUGGGUUAAGUCCCGCAACGAGCGCAACCCUUGUUCACUGUUGCCAGCACGUUAUGGUGGGGACUCAGUGGAGACCGCCGGGGUCAACUCGGAGGAAGGUGGGGAUGACGUCAAGUCAUCAUGCCCCUUAUGUCCAGGGCUUCACGCAUGCUACAAUGGCUGGUACAGAGAGUGGCGAGCCUGUGAGGGUGAGCGAAUCUCGGAAAGCCGGUCUCAGUUCGGAUUGGGGUCUGCAACUCGACCUCAUGAAGUCGGAGUCGCUAGUAAUCGCAGAUCAGCAACGCUGCGGUGAAUACGUUCCCGGGGCU